UGAAAAGCAACAACCAUCUACCAUAAAGAAGAGAGAAAAUUGCAGGCAGUCAAAGAGCAAUCAUAGAAUGAGGUUUUGCUCUCAGAGAGGUGGACUGGUUGCGCUACGGUGGUUGCCUCCCUCUCCCUCUGAAAGACUGCGAAGCCGAUGAUUUCACCAUCGCCCUCUUCACAUAUAGCAAGAAGCAUGCAAUGUUCCAGCCCAGCACGAAAACGAAAAUAAGCUGAAGGGUAAACCAGUCCAGAGAGAACAUCACCAUCCUUGCUCAACCUUGAUCAAAUAAAUUUAAUGUUUCAAAAUUUUGUUAAAGUACAUGUAAAUUAAAUCAUAUUAUUCAUUAAAAUUAAUU
Molecule: long non-coding RNA, 349 nt
Organism: Populus nigra (black poplar)
Lineage: Eukaryota; Viridiplantae; Streptophyta; Magnoliopsida; Malpighiales; Salicaceae
Exons: 2
Source: RefSeq, a predicted model, not a curated record